Molecule: ribosomal RNA, 253 nt
Filed under: uncultured bacterium
Lineage: Bacteria
Description: partial 16S ribosomal RNA
Rfam family: Bacterial small subunit ribosomal RNA
Source: RNAcentral
UACGUAGGGGGCAAGCGUUGUCCGGAUUCAUUGGGCGUAAAGGGCGCGUAGGCGGCUUGAUAAGGUUGCGGUGAAAGCCCGGGGCUCAACCCCGGGUCGGCCGUGGCAACUGUCGAGCUGGAGCACUGUAGAGGCAGGUGGAAUUCCGGGUGUAGCGGUGGAAUGCGUAGAGAUCCGGAAGAACACCGGUGGCGAAGGCGGCCUGCUGGGCAGUGGCUGACGCUGAGGCGCGACAGCGUGGGGAGCAAACAGG